Molecule: long non-coding RNA, 7243 nt
Filed under: Solanum lycopersicum (tomato)
Lineage: Eukaryota; Viridiplantae; Streptophyta; Magnoliopsida; Solanales; Solanaceae
Description: long non-coding RNA (SLYC_LNC000784)
Source: RNAcentral
CGUAAUCCCAGUCUGGGUCGGAUUUCUUUACACGUUUUAAGGGACGAUUUGGACUAUUCCUACUUUAAUUAUAAAGUUAGAGGGUUAAGGUUAAUAAGUUUAAUUACUUGGGGAUUAAAUGAGGUAACCUUAAGUUAAUUAGUGGGUUAUUAUUGCCAUCUUUCAUUCUUAAUUAUAUGUUAAUUAGGGUAAAAGAAAGAGGAUUUGAAUAAGAAAAUAGAAAGAACAAGAGAGAGAGAGAAUUGAACGAGGAAGAGAGAAACGAAGAGGAUAACAAAGCAUUGGGGAAUUUGUUGCUUGAUCACGAAUCUUCGGUGGAGGUAGGUUAUGAUUAUUUUAUGCUAUUCGUAGUAAACUCUUAAUAGCGAAUGAUAUGUAUUGAUAGUACUGUAAACCCUUCUAUAUGCUUAAUUGUAUGCUUGCAUGAAUGUGAUUAUGAAAUUGUGAUAUAAUAAGCAUGAUGAAGCUAUUGAAUCCUAAAUCUUGAAAAGUAACCCUAAUCUACUUUGUUAGUGAUGAUGCCUUGGUAUAAAAGAACGCUUGAUGAACGAAAGUAGUGAGAUUAGGGGAUCAGGUGCCACGUUCCGGUACCAGGAUAGUAUAUGAGGAUCGGAGUGUCACUUUCCGACACCACGGUAGUAUAUGGAUCGGGUGCCACGUUCCGGUACCAGGAUAGUAUAUGAGGAUCGGAUUUUUACGUUCCGACACCAGGAUAGUAUAUGGAUCGGGUGCCACGUUCUGGUACCAGGAUAGAAUAUGGAUCGGGUGUCACGUUCCGACACCAGGAUAGAAUGAGGAUUGGAGUGUCACGUUCUGACACCAUGAUAGUAUAUGAGGAGCGGAGUGUCACGUACCGAACGAGAGGAAUAAAGAUAAUGAAUCUUGAAAGAUGUUAAUAUACUCAAUUUAAUGAACCUAAUUCCCAAAUGAGUAUGAUGAGGAGGCGAAAGUCCUCAUUGAUGUGCUUGGUGUUGUGACCAAGGGUUAUGGUAAUUGUAAAUGCUGCAUGCUAAGGAUAUUAGUUGAUUUUAUGAUAUUACUUGAUAUAUACUGUUUUCUAUUUUGAGUUGGCCGAUGAUAUCUACUCAGUACCCGUGUUUUGUAUUGACCCCUACUUUUAUGUUUUCUUCUUUGUUAAUUGUGGAGUGCAGCAAACGUGCCGUCGUCUUCAACUCAACAGUAAUUCUAGCCAGUCUUUGUCACACCGGAUCUUCAGGGUGAGCUAAUGCUUCUAGCUUGGACUGGAUCUUCUUCCUCAUGUCUUGAUGCCUUGAAGUUCCGGCAUGGACUAGCUUUUACUUGGUUUAGCUUCUUAGAAUACUCUUAGUUUAGUAAUUUGAUAAUAGAUGUUCUUGUGGUGAUGACUUCCAGAUUUUGGGGAAUAAUAGUUGUUGAAUUUUAGAAGUUAUUGAAUUGGUUUUUAUUUAAUGAGUUUAAGUCUUCCGCAUUAUUUACUGUUGAUAUUAUAUUGAAAUGUUAAGGUUUAGAUUGGUUGGUUCGCUCACAGAGGAGGGUAAGGGUGGGUGUCAGUCGUGACCCGAUUUGGGUCGUGACAAACUUGGUAUCAGAGCAUUAUGUUCGUUGGUCUCAUAACGCAAGAACGAGUCUAGUAGGGGACGCCUUUACUUUUCUUUUAGAGGCUAAUAAGACAUUAGGAAAAUUCCAUUCUUUCAUUCUUCUUUCGUGCUAUUACUUGGGUCCAAUUGUUAUCGAGGUGAUACAAAUUGGUAUCUGACCAUCUUCACUCUAUUUCGCAGAUGGUUAGAACUAGAUCAACGACUCCGCCAACACCAACACCGGCAAGACAAGAAACGUCUGAGCCAGCCACUGGGGCUGUGGCUCGAGGAAGAGCAGCGGCAAGAGGCCGUGGUAGAGAUCGUGGGAGGACGUCCUCUAGAGGAAGAGGACGAGCACCUAGCUCAUCUGGUACUAGGGCGGUGACUCCUCCACCGACUGAGGAAGUAGUAAGAGAGGAUGAGGAAGGGGAGAAUGAACAAGUGCAAAAUGAGGAAUUGUCACCCCAACCUACCCCAGAGAUGAUCAAUCAGGUUCUUGCUUAUCUUAGCGGGUUAUCUGAUCAGGGUCAGGCACCUCUUGUGUUUUCUGCACCAACACCUCCGGUUUUAUAGGUACGACAUGCCGCUGCUGGGGCUCCCCGCAUGGAUGCCUAAUUGGAGAUAGGCACGUUUCCUCGUCUGACUACGGGGCCCAUAAUGACAAAUGAUUAGCAUGAACUUUUAAGUAAGUUCUUGAAAUUGAAACCUCCUGUCCUCAAGGGUGCUGAAUCGGAGGAUGCUUAUGAUUUUCUUGUUGACUGUCAUGAGCUACUACAUAAGAUUGUUAUAGUAGAACGAUUUGGUCUUGAGUUUGUGACUUAUCAGUUUCAAGGGAACGCCAAAAUGUGGUGGCGAACACAUGUUGAGUGUCAACCGACAGAGGCAACACCCAUGACUUUGGCCUCAUUCUCUAGCUUGUUUAUGGAAAAGUAUAUUCCCCGGACUUUGAGGGAUCGAAAAAGAGUUGAGUUCUUUAGCCUAGAGCAAGGUAGGAUGUCAGUUACUUCUUAUGAAGCUAGGUUUUGCGCACUAUCCAGAUAUGCCACCCAACUUUGUUUCAGUCCACAAGAGCGGAUUCGCCGUUUUGUGAAGGGGUUGAGGUCAGAGUUGCGGAUUUCAGCCUUACAGGUAGCGGCUACCGCAAAAUCCUUCCAAGAACUGGAAGACUUUGUGGUAGAGGUGGAAGGAGUAAAGCCAGAUGACUUCACCAUGGCAUCGACAUCAAAAAGGUUUCGAAAGGGAGGUGAGUAUAAUUGUUCUUACUCUAGAGGACAGGGUUCCGGAGGUUACUCAGUCAGACCAAUUAAGUCUUCACUACAGACUGUAGUUGGGGGUCCACCUCAGACCGGUCAACACUUCUCUGAGAGACCUAUGCUUGAAUCCAGAGAGUGUUAUGGAUGUGGGGAGACUGGACACAUUAAGAGGUAUUGUCCAUAACAGAGUUACAGACCUCCAAAUGUUAGAGGUAGAGGUGGUUAUGGAAGAGGUCGUCAUUCUGGAGGAUGCGGUGUUCGAGGUAAUGGUUGUCACCAAAACAGCCAGGGUGAUGGGCAAACUGGAGACACUACAUCACAACAUGGUAGGGGCAACGAACAGACAAACGAUAGGGCCCAUUGUUACGCUUUCCCUGGGCAGUCUGAAGCGGAGGCAUCUGAUGCUGUCAUCACAGGUAAUCUUUUGGUUUGUGAUUGCAUGGCUUCUGUAUUGUUUGAUCCCGGAUCCACAUUUUAUUAUGUAUCUUCCUCAUUUGCUAAUGGUCUUAAUUUAAAUUGUGAAUUACUUGACAUGCCUAUUCGUGUUUCUACUCUGGUGGGUGAGUCUGUGAUAGUUCAAAAAGUGUAUAGGUCUUGUUUGGUGACUUUUGUGGGGAGCAACACUUAUGUAGAUUUGGUUAUCCUAGAAAUGGUUGACUUUGAUGUAAUUUUGGGUAUGAAUUGGCUUUCUCCGAAUUUUGCGAUCUUCGAUUGUAAUGCUAAGAUUGUGCCGUUAGCCAAGCCUGGGACAGAUCCGUUAGUGUGGGAGGGUGACUACACUUCUAAUCCGGUGCGUAUCAUCUCCUUUCUUCGUGCUAAGAAAAUGGUUAGUAAAGGGUGUUUAGCUUUCUUGGCACAUCUCAAGGAUGACACUACUCAAGUACCCUAGAUUGAGUCGGUUUCGGUAGUCCGUGAGUUUUUGGAUGUGUUCCCUGCAGAUCUUCCUGGUAUGCCACCAGAUAGGGAUAUUGACUUCUACAUCGAUCUUGAACCGGGUACUCGCCCCAUUUCUAUACCCCCUUAUAGAAUGGCCCCCGCGGAUUUAAGAGAGUUAAAGGCCCAACUUCAAGAGUUGUUGAGCAAAGUCUUCAUUAGACCAAGUGCAUCUCCUUGGGGUGCUCCAGUUUUGUUUGUGAAGAAGAAGGAUGGGAGUUUUUGGAUGUGCAUAGACUACAGACAACUGAAUAAGCUAACUAUUAAGAACAAGUAUCCUCUUCCUCGCAUUGAUGACUUGUUCGAUCAGUUACCAGGUGCUUGCAUCUUCUCUAAGAUUGACUUGAGAUCCGGUUAUCAUCAAUUGAAAAUACGGGCAACGGAUGUGCCAAAGAAUACUUUUCGGACCAUGUAUGGGAAAUAUGAAUUUGUAGUGAUGUCUUUUGGUCUUACGAAUGCCUCUGCUGCUUUCAUGAGCUUGAUAAACGGGAUUUUUAAACCAUAUUUGGAUCUCUUUGUGAUCGUGUUUAUUGAUGAUAUACUGAUAUACUCUAAAAGUAAGAAGGAACAUGAGGAGCAUUUGAGAAUUGUAUUGGAAAUGUUGAGGGAGAAAAAGCUUUAUGCCAAGUUCUCUAAGUGUGAGUUUUGGCUAGAUGCAGUGUCCUUGUUGGGGCACGUGGUGUCUAAGGAGGGCGUGAUGGUGGAUCCUUCUAAGAUUGAGAUAGUGAAGAAUUGGGUAAGACCUACUAAUGUGUUAGAAAUAAGAAGUUUUGUUGGUUUAGCUAGCUAUUACCGUCGAUUUGUCGAGGGAUUCUCUUCCAUUGCUUCCCAAUUGACGAAUUUGACUAAGCAGAAUGUUCCAUUUGUAUGGUCAGACGAGUGUGAAGAAAGCUUUCAGAAGCUCAAGACUUUGUAGACUACUGCACCAAUUCUCACCUUGCCUGUGGAAGGUAAGAACUUCAUUGUUUAUUGUGAUGCAUCCUAUUCGGGUUUGGGUGCAGUGCUAAUGCAAGAGAAGAAUGUUAUUGCUUAUGCUUCAAGACAAUUAAAAGUUCAUGAACGUAACUAUGCGACCCAUGAUUUGGAAUUGGUUGCGGUAGUGUUUGCAUUGAAGCAAUGGAGACACUAUCUAUAUGGGGUUAAGUGUGAAGUAUACACGGAUCAUCGUAGCCUACACUAUGUCUUUACUCAGAAAGAUUUGAAUUUGAGGCAGAGGAGAUGGAUGGAAUUACUGAAGGACUACGAUAUCACUAUCUUGUAUCAUCCCAGAAAAGCGAAUGUUGUGGCAUACGCCUUUAGUAGAAAGGCAGGGAGCAUGGGACGUCUAGCUUACUUGCAAGUUUCUAGACGCCCAUUGGCUAGAGAGGUUCAGAUUCUGGCUAAUGACCUUAUGAGGUUAGAAGUAAAUGAGAGGGGAGGAUUUUUGGCUUGUGUGGAGGCAAGAUCUUCCUUCCUUGACAAGAUUAAGGGAAAGCAGUUUAUUGAUGAGAAAUUGAUCCCUAUCCGAGAUAAAGUGUUGCAAGGAGAGGCUAAAGAAGCGACAAUCGAUGAGGAAGGUGUUUUGAGAAUUAAGGGAAGGGUAUGUGUGCCCCGUGUUGAUGAUUUGAUCCACACCAUUCUUACAGAGGCUCAUAGUUCCAGAUAUUCUAUACAUCCUGGUGCAACCAAGAUGUACCCUAACCUAAAGCAACACUUUUGGUGGAGUAGAAUGAUGCGCGACAUUGUCGAUUUUGUUGCCAAAUGUCCAAACUGUCAACAAAUAAAGUAUGAACACACCAGAUACCCGGAGGAACACUUCAGAGAAUGCCCAUUCCCGAAUGGAAGUGGGAAAGGAUUGAAAUGGAUUUCGUGGUUGAUCUUCCAAAGACAUUGGGAAAGUUUGAUUCUAUUUGGGUAAUUGUUGAUAGGUUAACUAAGUCUGCUCACUUCAUUCCGGUCAAGGUGACUUACAAUGCAGAGAAGUUAGCCAAAAUCUAUAUCUCAGAAAUUGUUCGGUUGCAUGGGGUUCCACUCUCCAUUAUAUCAGAUAGAGGUACGCAGUUUACCUCUAUGUUUUGGAAAACAUUGCAUGCGGAAUUGGGUACUAGGUUGGACCUUAGUACUGCGUUCCAUCCUCAGACCGAUGGUCAGUCUGAGAGAACGAUUCAAGUGUUGGCGGAUAUGCUUCGUGCAUGUGUGAUAGAAUUUGGUGGCCAUUGGGAUAGCUUCUUACCCUUAGCAGAGUUCUCCUACAACAAUAGCUAUCACUCAAGUAAUUAUAUGGCUCCAUUUGAAGCAUUGUAUGGGGGGAGAUGUAGGUCUCCCAUUGGUUGGUUUGAUACAUUUGAGGUGAGACCUUGGGGUACUGAACUUUUGAGGGAUUCAUUAGAGAAAGUGAAGUCUAUUCAAGAAAAGCUUCUAGCGGCGCAGAGUAGGCAAAAAGAAUAUGCAGAUCGAAAGGUUAGAGACUUAAUGUUCAUGGAGGGUGAACAAGUCUUGCUGAAGGUUUCGCCCAAGAAAGGGGUGAUGCGGUUUGGUAAAAGAGGUAAACUACGCCCAAGGUAUAUUGGUCCCUUUGGAGUACUUAAGCGAGUAGGGGAGGUGUCUUAUGAGUUAGCCUUGCCUCCAGGGCUGUCCGGAGUGCAUCCGGUAUUCCAUGUGUCUAUGUUGAAAAGAUAUCAUGGGGAUGGAAACUACAUUAUCCAUUGGGAUUCGGUCCUGCUUGAUGAGAAUUUGUCGUAUGAGGAGAAACCUGUUGCUAUUUUAGGUAAACAAGUUCGCAAGUUGAGGUCAAGGGAGAUUGCAUCCAUCAAGGUGCAAUGGAAGAAUCGGCCGGUUGAAGAAGCCACUUGGGAGAAGGAGGCCGAUAUGCAAGAAAGAUACCCACAUCUGUUAAAAGAUUUAGGUACUCCUUCUCGCCCAUGUUUUUCUUUUUAUGAUCGUUCGAGGACGAACGAUGGGUAAAUUGAUAUCUAUUGUAACGACCUGUUUAGUCGCUUUGAGCAGCAGAUUUUAUUUCUGGAAAACUGGCUGAGGCGACGGACCCCACGACGGACCGUCAUGGCACGACGGACCGUCGCAGGGUCUCAUUUGAAAACACUUAGAAAUUCUGAAAUUGGGUACUGAAAAUUGACUCUCUGAACUUCGUAACGGAAUGGCAGGACGGACCGUCACAGGCGUGACGGACCGUCACAGACUCUUUGGUGGAAAUUGAGUCUCUGAACUUUGCGACGACCUGCAGGACGGACCGUCGCAGGCACGACGAGCCGUCACAGGUUGCGUAAUCCCAGUCUGGGUUGGAUUUCUUUACAUGUUUUAAGGGACGUUUUGGACUAAUCCUACUUUAAUUAUAAAGUUAGAGGGUUAAGGUUAAUAAGUCUAAUUACUUGGGGGUUAAAAGAGGUAACCUUAAGUUAAUUAGUGGGUUAUUAUUGCCAUCUUUCAUUCUUAAUUAUAUGUUAAUUAGGGUAAAAGAAAGAGGAUUUGAAUAAGAAAAUAGAAAGAACAAGAGAGAGAGAGAGA